UGGCUCAGUUGGUAGAGCACGGUGUUUGCAACGCCAGCAUGGUGUGUGCAACGCCAGGGUUGUGGGUUCGAUUCCCAC
Molecule: non-coding RNA, 78 nt
Organism: Salmo salar (Atlantic salmon)
Lineage: Eukaryota; Metazoa; Chordata; Actinopteri; Salmoniformes; Salmonidae
Source: Rfam